RNAcentral lists this ribosomal RNA (209 nucleotides) under Klebsiella pneumoniae. RNAcentral describes it as "partial 23S ribosomal RNA". It matches the Rfam family "Bacterial large subunit ribosomal RNA", at positions 398 to 608 of the family's 2925-position model. The record is from RNAcentral. Lineage: Bacteria; Pseudomonadati; Pseudomonadota; Gammaproteobacteria; Enterobacterales; Enterobacteriaceae.
UGUGAACUCGAAGAGUAGGGCGGGACACGUGGUAUCCUGUCUGAAUAUGGGGGGACCAUCCUCCAAGGCUAAAUACUCCUGACUGACCGAUAGUGAACCAGUACCGUGAGGGAAAGGCGAAAAGAACCCCGGCGAGGGGAGUGAAAAAGAACCUGAAACCGUGUACGUACAAGCAGUGGGAGCACCUUCGGGUGUGACUGCGUACCUUU